This 513-nucleotide ribosomal RNA is filed under the name uncultured bacterium. Its description in RNAcentral is "partial 16S ribosomal RNA". It matches the Rfam family "Bacterial small subunit ribosomal RNA", at positions 28 to 523 of the family's 1533-position model. The record is from RNAcentral.
GACGAACGCUGGCGGUGUGCCUAAUACAUGCAAGUCGAGCGGACAGAUGGGAGCUUGCUCCCUGAUGUUAGCGGCGGACGGGUGAGUAACACGUGGGUAACCUGCCUGUAAGACUGGGAUAACUCCGGGAAACCGGGGCUAAUACCGGAUGGUUGUUUGAACCGCAUGGUUCAAACAUAAAAGGUGGCUUCGGCUACCACUUACAGAUGGACCCGCGGGGCAUUAGCUAGUUGGUGAGGUAACGGCUCACCAAGGCAACGAUGCGUAGCCGACCUGAGAGGGUGAUCGGCCACACUGGGACUGAGACACGGCCCAGACUCCUACGGGAGGCAGCAGUAGGGAAUCUUCCGCAAUGGACGAAAGUCUGACGGAGCAACGCCGCGUGAGUGAUGAAGGUUUUCGGAUCGUAAAGCUCUGUUGUUAGGGAAGAACAAGUACCGUUCGAAUAGGGCGGUACCUUGACGGUACCUAACCAGAAAGCCACGGCUAACUAUGUGCCAGCAGCCGCCGUAA